Molecule: ribosomal RNA, 123 nt
Filed under: Propithecus coquereli (Coquerel's sifaka)
Lineage: Eukaryota; Metazoa; Chordata; Mammalia; Primates; Indriidae
Source: RNAcentral
GGUUACAGCCAUACCACCCGGAAUGUGUCUGAUCUUGUCUGAUCUCAGAAGCUUAAGCAGGGCCGGGCCUGGUUAGUACUUGGAUAGGAGACCUCUUCUGAAAAUGAUAGUCUUCUGGGAAGA